UGCAGAGCUGGCAACUAGGAAACAAGCUCUCUGUGUGAGGCUGUUUAAGCUUGCUGCUGCGCACUGGAGACAAUGGAAAGCUGCAGCUUGCCAGCAUUCCAGUGCUUGGUGCAUUGAAUGAAAUACUUCGUUUGAUUCCUCAAACAGUCUAGGAAGAUCUUCAACCUUUGUCCUGAACAGAACUGCAUCCCUGUCUAGGAAAACACUGACCACAAAUGUCAGUGACUUCGGGCCCUGGUAAUUUUUAUGUUAUUGGGUUGAAUCCUGGUUUGUCAGCACAAGCUUGAUGUAGACUUGGACUUUUCAACUAGAAAAGAGGAUAGUGAAGAAGAGGAAGGUGGUAGGUAGGACAUAGGUAUGUGAAAAUCAUGAAGAGGGCCACUGGGAAAUAGAAACAAAGUCAUGGAAUAGUUUGGGUUGGAAGAGACCUUAAAGAUCAUCCAGUUCCAACCCCUCUGCCAUGGGCAGGGACACCUUCCACUAGAUCAGGUUGCUCAAAGCCACAUCCAACUGAUCUGGUAUCUCUCCUAACAUAAAGAUUGGGUACAUGAGACUGAAAAUUUCGGGGUAGGUGCAAAGCAAACAAAAGGAGAUGGCUUUUCACAAGCAGGCAUUGAAGCUAUGAAACUCUUGCACAGGAUCUUGUUUGCAUGAAUUCAAAAUGUGUUUCAAUGAAUUAACAGAAGGAAAAAAAAAUCAGGACUUUUAAACAUUAAUGUGACAUCUGUGCCCUAGGAGGUCUCUGAGGAGUUACUGAGGAGUAACUGAGUUACUGAGGAGUUACUGAGGGCUAGGAAGGUAUGUGGGAAACCCUCAGUACAUGUUCGCACUGUUGUUAUGGUAGUAGCAGUGCUACUAAUAGUUAUCAGUACAGCACAUUGUUCAGUCACUAUCCGUUAUGAGUGCUGUUGGAGCUAGGGUACUCUGGUGGGUGGAUUUUUAAUCUGAGCUGGAUCAGCAAUUCUGCAGUUAAAAAAACCCCAAACAAAACAACAGGUGAUUUUCCUGUUACGCAGAUGGCAAAUGCAGCCUCUGACCAAGUCCCUCUCUCUCUGAAAGACUGAUCUUUGGAGAACUGUGAGCACGGACAUGCUCCUGGUCCCCCAUGCCCCUGCUCAUCUUCACUGCCUCUCUUCCAGCAGCCCAUGGACUUUGUGCAGUCAGUUCCUCUGGGUCUGCCCCAUACCAUGAGUGAACUCCUCUGGCUGCUUAGCUGGAAAGUCGGAUCUUGGAUAGGACAAGCAGUAUAGGGUAGGAUAGUCCAGCAGUAUUAAAAGAUGUAGUCUCAGGAGUCAUCCUUUUCUUCAUUUUCCCUGUGUUUUGGCAGGACCAGUCUGAAUCUGGCUGCUGCUCUUUGCGACAGGCAAUCUCAGCAUUAUGUCUGCUCCCGCAAAGGCUUGCGAGGUCUUGCGAGGUGUCCUGAUAGUCAUGGAGACUGUUUAUAUUGCUUGCCUCUGCUAUCCAAGCCUGAAGUAUUUCCCCUGAUUACCACAGCACAGCCCGCCCUUCUUGAAGUGUGAGAAAAGCAUCUAAUUGAGAACAAGGCUUUACCUCUCGAUAGGGAGGCUUGAGUGUCUAAAAAUCUAUUACUUCUCGUAUCUGGCUUGCUGCUAAAAAAAGGUUUAGCUGCAUUUUGGUGUUCAGCUCACAUGGUUUUUGUUUCCGCACUUGGACUUUAUAAUGUCUUUCUUUCAUGAACAGAGAAAAGGCUUCUCUGGUCUUUCAGUCCUUACAAAGUCUACUUUAUCAAAGUGGAUGGCUUUUUAUAAGUCAUCUCUGAUGGAAGCUUCCAGGCUGCAUUAGGAAAAAUUGGAGACAAACAACCAAAAAAAAAACCUCUCCUGUAUAUUUUCACUGUCUGUCACUGCAGACUGAAUGAAGUGUUCAAUUAUUCUAAGCAACACAUGAUUAUGAGCUAUUUUCCUACUGUCCUGUAGCAUAAACUCUGAAAUAAAGCAUCCUGUGGUACAGCAAUAAAAUAAAAAUGCCAGCACUUACACACUAGAAGAAACACAAUUAAAUUUUGUGGUUAGGUCAUCAUUCUGUGUAUUUUUCUCUUCAUAAAAUAACCCUGGGUUUAUUUUCUUAGCUAAUGAAGCAAAAUUAUUUUUUUCCCCUGCAAGAUGAAUGCAAUGAAUGAUGGGCCUCUUGCAUCUUUGUUAAAAAUUAUGCCAAACUUUGCCAUUCUUCCUGUUUUCCUCCUGAAUAAAAAUAAAGAAACUAGGAAAAUGACAGAGGCAUAAGAAGAAGAACAUUACCAGUUGUCUCAGUUGGGGCUAGGUUCAUGAGAAAGCUGGCUUGCUUUUGUGCUGAAGGAGCACUUUGCAGAGAGGAACGAGAAUAGCACAUCUGCUCGCCUCCCACACCAAUUCCAAGCUGAAAGUGUUCAGAAAGCCAGCAUUGGCAGUCUUGCUUCCACCGAAUGGCAGAAGAUGACAGUCAGCCAAAACCUGUUCUGAAACACGUUGGCACAGAAGAAAACUGCCUUUAUUUUGUCAACGUUUAUCUCCAGAAUCAAGAUAAAGUUGUAACUUUUGAGAAAAGGAUGUACUUUACUCAAGAAAGUGCGAUGUUGUAUCUGCCUAUUAUAUCUGCCAACUCUACUGGUGUCCAACGCAUCUUGGGUGUAACAAGGCACCUGUGUUGAACAAAUUGGCUCAAGACCCUAAGGUUAAAUGAAAUUACUUCCACCUCUAAAAUCAGGAAAGAUGAACUUGAACCCUACAUACUAAGGAAGGAUGAACAAGCCCACCUCUCUGAGCCUGUCUCCAUAGGAGAAGCGCUCCAGCCCUCGGAGCAUCUUCGUGGCCUCCUCUGGACUCACCCACAUGAAACACAACAGGCUUGGAUUUGGAAAUCAUGUCUCGUCCCAAGACUUAAGCAAGUCGUUAAAGUUUCACGGUUUUGCUUCACUGAAGUGGAGGCUAUUUACAGUAUUUAACCUUCUUCAAAGCCUCUUUUGUGGCAGGAAGUCCUUUAGGUGAUGUUCUGCCAUGUCCAUGGAGGUCUGUGGAAGAGCUGGAUGCCCAUCAUUGACCAGAGGCUGAACCAAUACAAUAAAAGCUGUUUACAGUAUCCCA
Molecule: long non-coding RNA, 3080 nt
Organism: Strigops habroptila (Kakapo)
Lineage: Eukaryota; Metazoa; Chordata; Aves; Psittaciformes; Psittacidae
Exons: 3
Source: RefSeq, a predicted model, not a curated record